Long non-coding RNA from Helianthus annuus (common sunflower), 229 nucleotides. RefSeq lists it as uncharacterized. NCBI's taxonomy places the organism in Eukaryota, Viridiplantae, Streptophyta, Magnoliopsida, Asterales, Asteraceae. The record is from RefSeq and is a predicted model, not a curated record. The transcript is spliced from 3 exons.
GAUCUAAAGCACUUACAAGCUAAAGCAAGUAUUUUCAUCCAUUCAAGAGCAUUCUACCAUCAAGAUCAUCAUCUUCUUAGUUCUUAAUCAUCCUCUAGAUCAUCCCUAGCCUAGUGCUAGAAGUGGUGAUACUAUUCAGGACGACCGUACGUCAGAUCACAGUUACUUACCAUUCACGGACGCAAUUCUGAAAUUAGUGGACCAUGCAGACAUUUCAAUCAAGGAAAGC